AGUGAACGCUGGCGGUAGGCCUAACACAUGCAAGUCGAACGGCAGCACAGUAAGAGCUUGCUCUUACGGGUGGCGAGUGGCGGACGGGUGAGGAAUACAUCGGAAUCUACUUUUUCGUGGGGGAUAACGUAGGGAAACUUACGCUAAUACCGCAUACGACCUACGGGUGAAAGCAGGGGAUCUUCGGACCUUGCGCGAUUGAAUGAGCCGAUGUCGGAUUAGCUAGUUGGCGGGGUAAAGGCCCACCAAGGCGACGAUCCGUAGCUGGUCUGAGAGGAUGAUCAGACACACUGGAACUGAGACACGGUACAGACUCCUACGGGAGGCAGCAGUGGGGAAUAUUGGACAAUGGGCGCAAGCCUGAUCCAGCCAUACCGCGUGGGUGAAGAAGGCCUUCGGGUUGUAAAGCCAUUUUGUUGGGAAAGAAAAGCAGCAGGUUAAUACCCCGCUGUUCUGACGGUACCCAAAGAAUAAGCACCGGCUAACUUCGUG
RNAcentral lists this ribosomal RNA (492 nucleotides) under uncultured bacterium. RNAcentral describes it as "partial 16S ribosomal RNA". It matches the Rfam family "Bacterial small subunit ribosomal RNA", at positions 29 to 507 of the family's 1533-position model. The record is from RNAcentral.